Long non-coding RNA from Diabrotica virgifera virgifera (western corn rootworm), 1490 nucleotides. RefSeq lists it as uncharacterized. The record is from RefSeq and is a predicted model, not a curated record. The transcript is spliced from 2 exons. NCBI's taxonomy places the organism in Eukaryota, Metazoa, Arthropoda, Insecta, Coleoptera, Chrysomelidae.
GCUUGAGACCGGCGCCUUUCCCAAACUUUCGACUCUUGGUAAUUAUUGUUAAAUUUCCUAUUACUGCUUGAAGAUUGUGGAACUUUCUGACAGUAGUUGGCUAGCAAACACGCGCAACGCCGCCCGCCGGUACUUAUUGAUCCGCGAAUUAUUGGGAGCUGCACGCUGCACCGCAGUUGAUUUAGUACAGUUGCAGUUGAAGUGUUUUUCGUAAUUACGAAAAUGCAUAGGAAGAGUGUCUCAACAGUUUUGUUUGUUUUACUAUUGUGCUUUGGAAAUUUUGGUUUAGUUCGUAUGACUCCACCAAUUCACCAAUCGAAUUUAGUACGGCAGGAUGAACCACCUUCGAUCGAAUAUAAAUACAUCGUCAAAAAUAUUCUUCCCGCUGAAAGUCACUGGUGGAGAAGAGGAACCCACAGAUACCUCGUGGAUAAUAGUCAGGUCCAAGUUGUUCUAGCGAGAUGACCAGAAAAUUUAUGGGUAGUUUGAUAUCCAUAAUUAACAAUUUAAAUCAAUGUGACUGAAUAUCUAUUUGACGUAUUUAUUAGAUAAAAAUAAUAAACUUAAAGAUAAAACCCAUAACUAAAUUAAAAUUCAUGGUGACGUUUCAAUUAUUAUUUUAAUCAUCGUCAGAAUGAUAAGUUUCUUGAGCGGAUGCUUUAAAAUAAUUUUAAAGGAACAAACAAUAAUUAACGAAAACGUAAAAAAUGACAUUGACAAUCAUUGGGUUAAGUCAAUAAUUUCAAACACGCCACGUUCUGUUGCGUGCUUAAGGGUGGCUUCAAAAGAAAUAUGGAUAAUGCCUCCUUGAUGCUGAGUUCCGUUGGAGAACUUGCAUGACCAAUGAUUGAGAAGUCCUUACGACUAAUAGGGUGGUCAGAAUCAGUCAUAUGUUGGAAUACCGCUGAAUUUGGAACUGUUCUUGAUCGUCUUCCUAAGUGAGGAGUGACACCUAAGUGUUCGUAACAUCUGACAUUAAAGUGACGUCGAGUCUUCCCGACGUACGUAGCUGCACAGCUACUACAUUUGAAUUGGUAUAUAUAAUGUUAGAUGCGAGAUCACUAGGAAUUAUUGAUCACAAUUAUUGACUUAACCCAAUGAUUGUCAAUGUCAUUUUUUACGUUUUCAUUAAUUAUUGUUUGUUCCUUUAAAAUUAUUUUAAAGCAUCCGCUCAAGAAACUUAUCAUUCUGACGAUGAUUAAAGUAAUAAUUGAAACGUCACCAUGAAUUUUAAUUUAGUUAUGGGUUUUAUCUUUAAGUUUAUUAUUUUUAUCAAGUUUAAUGGUGUGUCCUUAUCUACAUAUAUUUAUUAGAUGUAAUCACGUAUAAAUGUUUAUUUGUUAAAUGUUAAAUUUAGGUAAUGGUGUCCAAAGAAUUACAAUAAUUAUUUCUAAUUUGCUUAUGACUUAAGACUGGAUAGAUUCAUUAACGAGAUAGUAUUUAUUAGGUAAUUAUUAUUGAAAAUAAAUUAUUAGAUAUUUAUUUUGUAA